GAUAGUGUAGAACAUGUUGAUGUAAAAUGCCGCCUUGUUUAUCUGUUUAAAAAUGAAAGGUUGUAAUUGGUCGAUGCACCAGUCAAGCCAAUGCGGAAAAUACCAGGUUUUAAAACUAUUAAUAGAAUAUGGAAAUCACCUAACAUUUCUGAAAACCUAGGAAUAUAUUUAGAUACAAACUCAACUAGUGCAGUUAAUGAUGGUGACAUGAUUAAAAAAAGUAAACCA
This 228-nucleotide long non-coding RNA is filed under the name Mytilus galloprovincialis (Mediterranean mussel). Lineage: Eukaryota; Metazoa; Mollusca; Bivalvia; Mytilida; Mytilidae. The record is from RNAcentral.